UACGUAGGGGGCAAGCGUUGUCCGGAUUUAUUGGGCGUAAAGAGCGUGUAGGCGGCCUUACAGGUCAGCUGUGAAAACUCGAGGCUCAACCUCGAGACGUCGGUUGAAACCGUAUGGCUAGAGUCCGGAAGAGGAGAGUGGAAUUCCCGGUGUAGCGGUGAAAUGCGCAGAUAUCGGGAGGAACACCGGUGGCGAAGGCGGGUCUCUGGGCAGUAACUGACGCUGAGGAGCGAAAGCGUGGGGAGCGAACAGG
Molecule: ribosomal RNA, 253 nt
Filed under: uncultured bacterium
Lineage: Bacteria
Description: partial 16S ribosomal RNA
Rfam family: Bacterial small subunit ribosomal RNA
Source: RNAcentral